GUGAGAAGUCCGGCUUGCUCGACUGAGCCGGACGUCCAGGAUGCGAGUGCCCAGUGGGCCACUUUUGGUAAGCAGAACUGGCGCUGUGGGAUGAACCAAACGCUGGGUUAAGGCGCCCGAUGCCAGACGCUCAUCAGAUCCCAUGAAAGGUGUUGGUUGCUAUAGACAGCAGGACGGUGGCCAUGGAAGUCGGAAUCCGCUAAGGAGUGUGUAACAACUCACCUGCCGAAGCAACUAGCCCUGAAAAUGGAUGGCGCUGUAGCGUCGAGCCCAUACCCGGCCGCCCCGGCUGGGCACGGAAGCUUAUGCCGGGGUGAGUAGGAGGUGUCGCAGCGGCGUGCGUUGAAGGUGCCGGGCGUGGGCCCGCCUGGAGCCGCCGCUGGUGCAGAUCUUGGUGGUAGUAGCAAAUACUCAAGUGAGAACCUUGAGGACUGAGGUGGAGAAGGGUUCCAUGUGAACAGCAGUUGAACAUGGGUCAGUCGGUCCUAAGGGAUAGGAGAAAUCCGUUCCGAAGCGGGACCUGCGUGCACCGUGAGGUCCCGUGGUCGACCGAAAGGGAAUCGGGUUAAUAUUCCCGAACUCGGACGCGGAGAUCGGCCCCUCGGGGUCAACUGCGGUAACGCAACCAAACUCGGAGACGUCGAUCGGGGUCCCGGGAAGAGUUGUCUUUUCUUUGUAAGGGAUCGGCUCCCUGGAAUCGGCUCGCCCGGAGAUAGGGAUGCUGUUCCCGUAAAGCACCGCGGCUCUUGCGGUGUCCGGAGCGCUCCGGUCGGCCCUUGAAAAUCCGAGGGAGAGUGUGAUUUUCGUGCCGGACCGUACCCAUAUCCGCAGCAGGUCUCCAAGGUGAACAGCCUCUAGUCGAUGGAACA
RNAcentral lists this ribosomal RNA (869 nucleotides) under Pseudocellus sp. MCZ IZ 89536. Its description in RNAcentral is "partial large subunit ribosomal RNA". It matches the Rfam family "Eukaryotic large subunit ribosomal RNA", at positions 1073 to 1897 of the family's 3401-position model. The record is from RNAcentral. Lineage: Eukaryota; Metazoa; Arthropoda; Arachnida; Ricinulei; Ricinoididae.